RNAcentral lists this ribosomal RNA (374 nucleotides) under uncultured organism. Its description in RNAcentral is "partial 16S ribosomal RNA". It matches the Rfam family "Bacterial small subunit ribosomal RNA", at positions 527 to 897 of the family's 1533-position model. The record is from RNAcentral.
GUAGGUGGCAAGCGUUGUCCGGAAUUAUUGGGCGUAAAGCGCGCGCAGGGCGGUCCUUUAAGUCUGAUGUGAAAGCCCACGGCUCAACCGUGGAGGGUCAUUGGAAACUGGGGGACUUGAGUACAGAAGAGGAAAGCGGAAUUCCAAGUGUAGCGGUGAAAUGCGUAGAGAUUUGGAGGAACACCAGUGGCGAAGGCGGCUUUCUGGUCUGUAACUGACGCUGAGGCGCGAAAGCGUGGGGAGCAAACAGGAUUAGAUACCCUGGUAGUCCACGCCGUAAACGAUGAGUGCUAAGUGUUAGGGGGUUUCCGCCCCUUAGUGCUGCAGCUAACGCAUUAAGCACUCCGCCUGGGGAGUACGGCCGCAAAGGCUGA